Molecule: ribosomal RNA, 468 nt
Filed under: uncultured bacterium
Lineage: Bacteria
Description: partial 16S ribosomal RNA
Rfam family: Bacterial small subunit ribosomal RNA
Source: RNAcentral
GACGAACGCUGGCGGCGUGCUUAGCACAUGCAAGUCGAACGGAAAGGCCCUGCUUUUGUGGGGUGCUCGAGUGGCGAACGGGUGAGUAACACGUGAGUAACCUGCUCUUGACUUUGGGAUAACUUCAGGAAACUGGGGCUACUACAGGAUAGGAGCUCCUGCUGCAUGGUGGGGGUUGGAAAGUUUCGGCGGUUGGGGAUGGACUCGCGGCUUAUCAGCUUGUUGGUGGGGUAGUGGCUUACCAAGGCUUUGACGGGUAGCCGGCCUGAGAGGGUGACCGGCCACAUAGGGACUGAGGUACGGCCCAGACGCCUACGGGAGGCAGCAGUGGGGAAUAUUGCACCAUGGGCGGAAGCCUGAUGCAGCAACGCCGCGUGCGGGAUGACGGCCUUCGGGUUAUAAACCGCUUUCGCCUGUGACGAAGCGUGAGUGACGGUAAUGGGUAAAGAAGCAACGGCUAACUACGUG